CACGAACCGUACGAACGUUAUUCGGAAUUACUGGGCUUAAAGGGUUUGUAGGCGGCCUUGUAAGUCAGGUGUGAAAGCCCUCGGCUCAACCGAGGAACAGCGCUUGAUACUGCAAGGCUUGAGGGAGACAGGGGUAAGCGGAACUGAUGGUGGAGCGGUGAAAUUCGUAGAUAUCAAGCAGAACACCUGUGGCGAAGGCGGCCUUCUGGACGAUGACUGACGCUGAGACGCGAAAGCGUGGGGAGCAAACAGG
This 253-nucleotide ribosomal RNA is filed under the name uncultured bacterium. RNAcentral's name for it is "partial 16S ribosomal RNA". It matches the Rfam family "Bacterial small subunit ribosomal RNA", at positions 524 to 776 of the family's 1533-position model. The record is from RNAcentral.